This is a long non-coding RNA of Brassica oleracea var. oleracea, 1755 nucleotides long. RefSeq lists it as uncharacterized. The transcript is spliced from 4 exons. The record is from RefSeq and is a predicted model, not a curated record. Lineage: Eukaryota; Viridiplantae; Streptophyta; Magnoliopsida; Brassicales; Brassicaceae.
CUUAAACAUAUACAAAUACUACUAAACACACGGAAAACAGGUGAAUAAAACACACCCUCGAAAACAAAUCUGACAAUAUCUAAUCUAUCAAAACAAGAGUACAAAAAGAAAAUAACCAUGGGUUUUCCUCAAUAAUUACAAGUGAAUGCCACUGAAUCAAAAUCUAUUAAAUUAUCAAACCACCUCAAUAUAAUACUUAAACCAACGUAAUUUCAUCACCACGUUGCGUCACCACUCCUUGCAGAAGCUCUAGCCAUUAGAGACGCCCUACUACACGCCCUCUCACUCGGCUUCACCUCGAUCUGGCUUCGAUCAGAUGCUCAAGCGCUCAUCACGGCGAUCAACACGAAGCGAAGACCGACAACAAAACUCUACGGGGUGUUGUCGGACAUCGAUUCGCUUUCCUCUCUGUUUUCUGUUUGUCGUUUUUCAUUCUGCCCUAGGGCCUCUAACGGGCUAGCGGACUCUUUAGCUAAAGCCCACCUUUGUAUUGCCCCCUUGGGCCAACUCGUUUAAGCUUCUAUAAAAAUUUAUCUGUUGCGCAAAAAAAAAAACAAUCGUAAUUUCAAUUACAUUAACCUAAUCUUAUUUUAUUAGAUAGAUGAAAAACUAACCUUGGCGACUAAGGGGAGAGAGAUGACGACGGGGACGAUGAAGAAGGUGUUAAAUCUUGCUAAAGGCGUCGUUAUGUUCAUCAUCUGCGGUGGAGAGCUUAAUCCCCCUGAAGCUUCUAGAUCUCACCGGAGCUAUUCCCGAUGUUACCCAGCCUUUCCAUUAAUUCUUUGAUAAGGAAGCAACAAAACAACUUGUGGGACGAUUUGAAACUUUCCCAUUGCAGAGAACGCUCUCACUUGCGUCUGCUAAGUCUUCUUCUUCGACUUCACUUACAUCUCAAAUCCUCUAAUGGCCAAGACUGUUGAUUACCUGUUAUUGGACAUGGUAGCAGUGGCAUCAAGGUGGACCUUUGAGCUGAACCUUCAACUAUUAGCAAUAGUAAGCAAGCCUCUACUACAAGUCUACAACUCUAAAUGGCGCCCCAAGAAAAUGAAAAUCGAAGAUAAAUCUUCUUCAACCUUUUAGAGGUCUCUGGAUAUAUUAGUUUGAAAACCAUUCCUAAGCCGGAACAUUCUGAUACUGUCAUUUAAUAGACUGAUACUAAAGAGGUGACUGUCUGUCCCUUUUGUUUUUGUUAAAGCUAAUUAGUGUUACGUUUGACUUACCUCUGUUUGGUAGAUUCCUGGUUAUCAUGAGAUUAUCACGAAUCAGACGAAUUUUAGCACACUGUAGAAGAAAUUAGACUCGGGAGCUUAUUCCGGGUUCGAAAAAUUUUAGUGCAGGGUGCAAACAUAAGUCUGUUUCAAAAGUUAUGCUUAACUUGAAGAACUAUGGGUCUAUUUAAAUUCAAAUUUGUCUCCCAGUUUGAGUACAUAUCAAACGUGUGGAGAUUGGUGUUUGAAUAGCUACUGUCCUUCUCGGCGUAGGCAACAAGAAUUUGCGAAGAACCACAUGACCAGCAACCAAAAGUUGCUAAAAGAAGUCGUCCACAGGAGACAUCAUGAACCUUCUUUAGUUGACUUCAAAAAUUUCAGCUGAUGCGCUCUAUCCAGGAGGAUAUACGUCAUAUAACUCUAAUAAGUUUUAGUGCUUGCACCAAUUUGUGGAUAAAAUAUUUAAUUAUUUUAAUUAUAUAAAGCAAAUAAAAUAAAUUAGGCGCGCAGUCAGAUCCUAGUUAUUUUUAAAAAGAACUGCAUAACA